AGGGAAACCGAGUCUUAAUUGGGCGUUAAGUUGCAGGGUAUAGACCCGAAACCCGGUGAUCUAGCCAUGGGCAGGUUGAAGGUUGGGUAACACUAACUGGAGGACCGAACCGACUAAUGUUGAAAAAUUAGCGGAUGACCUGUGGCUGGGGGUGAAAGGCCAAUCAAACCGGGAGAUAGCUGGUUCUCCCCGAAAGCUAUUUAGGUAGCGCCUCGUGAAUUCAUCUCCGGGGGUAGAGCACUGUUUCGGCUAGGGGGCCAUCCCGGCUUACCAACCCGAUGCAAACUGCGAAUACCGGAGAAUGUUAUCACGGGAGACACACGGCGGGUGCUAACGUCCGUCGUGAAGAGGGAAACAACCCAGACCGCCAGCUAAGGUCCCAAAGUCAUGGUUAAGUGGGAAACGAUGUGGGAAGGCCCAGACAGCCAGGAUGUUGGCUUAGAAGCAGCCAUCAUUUAAAGAAAGCGUAAUAGCUCACUGGUCGAGUCGGCCUGCGCGGAAGAUGUAACGGGGCUAAACCAUGCACCGAAGCUGCGGCAGCGACACUGUGUGUUGUUGGGUAGGGGAGCGUUCUGUA
Molecule: ribosomal RNA, 577 nt
Filed under: Salmonella enterica subsp. enterica serovar Kentucky
Lineage: Bacteria; Pseudomonadati; Pseudomonadota; Gammaproteobacteria; Enterobacterales; Enterobacteriaceae
Description: partial 23S ribosomal RNA
Rfam family: Bacterial large subunit ribosomal RNA
Source: RNAcentral